Pelobates cultripes (western spadefoot toad) is the source of this 245-nucleotide non-coding RNA. Lineage: Eukaryota; Metazoa; Chordata; Amphibia; Anura; Pelobatidae. The record is from the annotation of a GenBank genome assembly.
CUAAUUUCUGUAAUUUCCUUUUACUAUCACCUUGGGCCUGGCUGACAAAUGCUGAGUCUAUCAUUCGGAAGUUUUCAGGAUUGAAAGGAGUGUACAAUCUAUUUGACUCAAGCAGUGUCUAAUAUGGGACUUCGGCAAGGCUGCUCAAUAAUAGGUUCCAGUCUAGGAGUAGUAAGAUAGGUGUAAGGGGGUGAGCUAAUUUUAUUAGUCGGCAUUUGGUGGAUGAAAAAACGUUUUUGUUUAAA